Molecule: ribosomal RNA, 497 nt
Filed under: uncultured bacterium
Lineage: Bacteria
Description: partial 16S ribosomal RNA
Rfam family: Bacterial small subunit ribosomal RNA
Source: RNAcentral
GAUGAACGCUGGCGGCGUGCCUAAUACAUGCAAGUCGAGCGAACGGACGAGAAGCUUGCUGCUCUGAUGUUAGCGGCGGACGGGUGAGUAACACGUGGAUAACCUACCUAUAAGACUGGGAUAACUUCGGGAAACCGGAGCUAAUACCGGAUAAUACUUUGAACCGCAUGGUUCAAAAGUGAAAGACGGUCUUGCUGUCACUUAUAGAUGGAUCCGCGCUGCAUUAGCUAGUUGGUAAGGUAACGGCUUACCAAGGCAACGAUGCAUAGCCGACCUGAGAGAGUGAUCGGCCACACUGGGAGAGAGACACGGUCCAGACUCCGACGGGAGGCAGCAGUAGGGAAUCUUGCGCAAUGGGCGAAGGCCUGACGGAGCAACGCCGCGUGAGUGAUGAAGGUCUUCGGGUCGUAAAGCUCUGUUAUUAGGGAAGGAGAUAUGUGUAAGUAACUGUGCACAUAUUGACGGUACCUAAUCAGAAAGCCACGGCUAACUCCGUG